AAACCAACAGGGAUUGCCUCAGUAACGGCGAGUGAAGCGGCAAAAGUCCACCUUUGAAAUAUUGACGUGGUUGGGAGAGGCAAUGUGCACAAGUCGCCUGGAACGGCCGCCAAAGAGGGUGAUAGCCCCGUAGCACACGCCAAAUCUUCCCAGCCGACAGAGUCGAGUUGUUUGGAAUGCAGCUCUAAAGGUGGUAGGGUCCAUCAAAGACUAAAUAUCAGCGAGAGACCGAUAGCAAACAAGUACAGUGAUGGAAAGAUGAAAAGAACUUUGAAAAGAGAGUGAAACAGUGCGUGAAAUUGGGGGGAGGGAAGGCAAGGCCACGACAAGUGGUCCUGCGC
Molecule: ribosomal RNA, 341 nt
Filed under: Komagataella ulmi
Lineage: Eukaryota; Fungi; Ascomycota; Pichiomycetes; Pichiales; Pichiaceae
Description: eukaryotic LSU rRNA
Rfam family: Eukaryotic large subunit ribosomal RNA
Source: RNAcentral